GGUUGUCGUCAGCUCGUGUCGUGAGAUGUUGGGUUAAGUCCCGCAACGAGCGCAACCCUCGACCUUUAGUUGCCAGCAUUCAGUUGGGCACUCUAAGGUGACUGCCGGCUAAAGUCGGAGAAGUGGGGAUGACGUCAAAUCAUCAUGCCCCUUAUGACCUGGGCUACACACGUGCUACAAUGGGCGGUACAAAGGGUCGCGAACCCGCGAGGGGGGAGCCAAUCCCAAAAAGCCGCUCUCAGUUCGGAUUGCAGGCUGCAACUCGCCUGCAUGAAGCCGGAAUCGCUAGUAAUCGCGGAUCAGCAUGCCGCGGUGAAUACGUUCCCGGGCCUU
Molecule: ribosomal RNA, 333 nt
Filed under: uncultured Anoxybacillus sp.
Lineage: Bacteria; Bacillati; Bacillota; Bacilli; Caryophanales; Anoxybacillaceae
Description: bacterial SSU rRNA
Rfam family: Bacterial small subunit ribosomal RNA
Source: RNAcentral